Long non-coding RNA from Oncorhynchus nerka (sockeye salmon), 1663 nucleotides. RefSeq lists it as uncharacterized. The transcript has 2 exons. The record is from RefSeq and is a predicted model, not a curated record. NCBI's taxonomy places the organism in Eukaryota, Metazoa, Chordata, Actinopteri, Salmoniformes, Salmonidae.
AUUCUAAGCAUUCACAGUGAACAGGAACAAAAACGGAAAUAAGGAGAACUGGAACUGUUCAGUGUGCCUUUUGUUCUCUUAAAAUGUAGGCUAAACAUGAACAAAGCUGAAUCUACUCAUAGUGACUUGUUGAAGCUGAAACACAUGAGUCUGUCUGUCCUCCCCAUGAACACAGCUGGACGCAACAGGACACAGAGGGCAAGUUACUGAUCCUCCAAAGAAAUCAGCCAGCCAAAACCUCCACUCCCCACCGGACUUGGCAGCUAACGCAGGUUACAGCAAAGGGAGGAAUUAUGUUUUUUCCCUUUUCCUCCUCCAUGCAUGUUUAAUCGGACUACUACCACCAUCCUGCUGGCUGGCAGACCAUCUGAAAAGUCUCUGUGGUGGUUAAAAGAUGUUAAAUGGAUCAAUAUUCCUGAAUUUGAAAUAUUGCUUCCCCUGUGUGUAGCUCAGGCACACAGAUUUCUGCACGGACAGCCGGCCCGAAGGGGAGGAUGGAGCUGGGAAUCUUAACUCUUAGUUAUGACUUGACGACAUCACACAAAAUAUGGCUUUCGCCAAAGUAAUGCUGCUGUUUAUUGGAUAGAGAAAUGACUAAGAGAUUCAAUUUUCAUUCUCAUUUAAGAUGAUGGCUGCCUGCCAGCUAGAGCAUGGAAGGAGAGGUGGGUGCUAGGCAGGCAGUCAGAUUUCCCAGUCAUUCUGUCUGAAAGAGGCAGAACUUCGUGAUUAAGGCCCAGCUUGGAAAUAAAUCUGCUUCCGCAAGCUGGCCGUGCCUCAACCUGGCCCAGCCUGACUGGAAAUAACUUCAGGCACAUUGGCAGAUAACUAAACUGAUUGAAUGUCACUCGGGCCUCUCAUUCUCUAUGCAACCAGAUGUGCUGUGAGCUACAUUUCAGGAAAGGGAAGGAUGUUCAUAGAGACCUUUCUCUUUGGUAAUAAAAAUCUAUCCAGGGGAGCUGUUAUUUUUCACACCAUCGCACCACCUCAUCCAUGCUUCAUGGUGGGAACCACACAUGCGAAGAUCAUCCAUUCACCUACUCUGCGUCUCACAAAGACAAGACUCAUCAGACCAAAGGACAUAUUUCCACCGGUCUAACGUUCAUUGCUUGUGUUUCUUGGCCCAAGAAUGUCUCUUCUUAUUGGUGUCCUUUAGUAGUGGUUUUUCUUUGCAGCAAUUCGACCAUGCAGGCCUAAUUCACACAGUCUCCUAUGAAAAGUGGAUGUUGAGAUGUGUCUGUUACUUGAACUCUGAAGCAUUUAUUUGGGCUGUAAUUUCUGAUGCUGGUAACUAAUGAACUUAUCCUCUGCAGCAGAGAUAACUCUGGGUAUUCCUUUCCUGUGGCAGUCCUUAUGAAAGCCAGUUUUAUCAUAGCUCUUGAUGGUUUUCCACAAAUUAACUUUUAACAAGGCACACCUGUUAAUUGAAAUGCAUUCCAGGUGACUACCUAAUGAAGCUGGUUGAGAGAAUGCCAACAGUGUGCAAAGCUGUCAUCAAGGCAAAGGGGAGCUACUUUGAAGAAUCUCAAAUAUAAAAUAUAUUUUGAUUUGUUUAACACUUUUUUGGUUACUACAUGAUUCCAUAUGUGUUAUAUUAUAGUUGAUGUCUUCACUUUUAUUCCACAAUGUAAAAAAUAGUAAAAAUAAAGAAAAACCUUGGAAUGAG